AGCGAGGCUCCGUGCAGCCGCUGCCCGGGCUCCGUGGGGCCGCCUUCGCCGCCGGAAGCCCAGCCCCGAAAUGGCGGCGUGCGUUUGACCGGCGGCUCGUUGACGCGGCGAGCGGGGCGGGGGCUGUCCCCUCUCCGAGGUAACGCCGGGGCAGCCGGCGGCGCCAGGCUUUCCCCGAUACCCUGAGAAGUCCUCUGCGGCAGGGGAACGUACACAGACAUUACGUUUUUUUGGAAGUUCUAGAUGUAAAUUCCUGUGAUCCAACCCAAGGAAACAUGAGAAAGCAGGAAGUGAGAUGAGGGAAGAACCUAAGUGUUAGAAAGAGAAAAGGAGAAAGGGGGAAAAAGUCUCAUACAAACCUCAAGCAUAACUGGCCCAGGUUUAUUGCUCAGCAGGAGAGCACCUUUUGCUGGGUCUAGCAUAUGGCCAACAGAAGCUAUGUCAGUGUCUGCAAACUCAGCAAAUUCUGAAGGAAACUGGAUUAGGAAGCCAUUGUAUGGAUUAUUUCAAUACAAUUCCAGUAUGAUUGGACUAGAAUCAUUAGCUGAUCCCACAGACACCUGGGAAAUUAUAGAGACUAUUGGAAAAGGCACUUAUGGUAAAGUCUAUAAGGUUGCCAAUAAGAAAGAUGGGAGUCUGGCAGCAGUAAAGAUUCUCGAUCCUAUUAGUGAUGUUGAUGAAGAAAUUGAAGCAGAAUAUAAUAUUUUGCAGUUUCUUCCCAAUCAUCCUAAUGUUGUUAGAUUUUAUGGGAUGUUCUACAAAGCCGAUCAAUAUGUGGGAGGACAGCUCUGGCUAGUACUUGAGCUGUGCAAUGGAGGGUCUGUCACAGAACUUGUCAAAGGUUUGCUGAAGUGUGGCCAACAAUUGGAUGAAGCUAUGAUCUCAUACAUCUUAUAUGGUGCUCUCUUGGGCCUUCAGCAUUUACACAAUAACCGGAUCAUUCAUCGAGAUGUCAAAGGGAACAACAUUCUUCUGACAACAGAAGGUGGAGUCAAGCUCGUUGACUUUGGUGUUUCAGCCCAGCUCACCAGUACACGGCUACGUAGAAACACCUCAGUGGGAACACCCUUUUGGAUGGCUCCUGAGGUCAUUGCUUGUGAACAGCAGUAUGACUACUCAUAUGAUGCUCGAUGUGACGUAUGGUCUUUGGGAAUAACAGCUAUUGAACUCGGAGAUGGAGACCCUCCUUUAUUUGACAUGCAUCCGGUGAAAACUCUUUUUAAAAUUCCAAGAAACCCUCCUCCUACUUUGCUGCAUCCUGAAAAAUGGUGCAGAGGAUUCAACCAUUUCAUUUCACAGUGUCUUAUCAAGGAUUUCGAGAAACGUCCUACAGUCACCCACCUUUUGGAGCAUCCAUUUAUUAAACAAGUGCAUGGUAAAGAUAUGUCUCUGCAAAAACAGUUGGCUGAGCUUAUCCAAGAACAGCAGCGACUAGGCUCUGUAGCAAAAACAAGGCAUGAACGAAUACAUACCAAAAGACCCUACCAUGUGGAUGGAGCUGACAAGUACUCUCAAGAUGAUGAUCUGGUAAAUCUAGAAGUUCUUGAUGAGGAUACAAUUAUCCAUCAGCUGCAGAAACGCUAUGCUGACUUACAAAUUUAUACGUAUGUUGGAGAUAUUUUGAUAGCCUUAAACCCUUUCCAGAAUCUCAGCAUUUACUCUCCACAGUUCUCCAAGCUUUACCAUGGUAUGAAGCGCUCAUCCAAUCCCCCCCACAUAUUUGCCUCUGCAGAUGCUGCCUACCAAAGUAUGGUGACAUUCAGCAAAGAUCAGUGCAUUAUCAUCAGUGGGGAAAGUGGUGCUGGAAAGACAGAAAGUGCCCAUUUGAUCGUCCAACAUUUGACCUUCUUGGGAAAGGCCAAUAAUCGUGCUUUGCGUGAGAAAAUUCUUCAGGUGAAUCCUCUGGUUGAAGCAUUUGGGAAUGCCUGUACUGCCAUCAAUGACAACUCAAGUCGCUUCGGAAAAUAUCUGGAAAUGAUGUUUACACCCACAGGAGCUGUAAUGGGGGCAAAGAUUUCUGAGUAUCUACUUGAAAAGUCAAGGGUUAUAAAACAGGCUGUGGGAGAGAAAAAUUUCCAUAUAUUUUAUUAUAUUUAUGCUGGCCUUUAUCAUCAGAAGAAACUUUCUGAAUAUAGGCUUCCUGAAAAAAAGCCUCCUAGAUACAUUGAUAAUGAAACUGGAAGAGUAAUGCAUGAUAUUGUUACUAAGGAUUCCUAUGGAAGACAAUUUGAAGCAAUUCAGCAUUGCUUUAGAAGUAUAGGAUUCACUGAUGAGGAAGUGUAUUCAGUGUACAGAAUUCUGACUGGUAUCUUAAAUACUGGAAACAUCGAGUUUGCUGCCAUUUCUUCACAACACCAAACAGAUAAAAGUGAAGUUCCAAACCCAGAAGCCUUAGAUAAUGCUGCUGCACUGCUAAGUAUUGGGUCAGAAGAACUGCAAGAGGCCCUAACCUCCCACUGUGUUGUAACACGGGGGGAGACUAUUAUCCGAACAAACACUGUGGACAAAGCAGCUGACGUGCGAGAUGCCAUGUCUAAAGCACUUUAUGGCAGACUCUUCAGCUGGAUCGUAAAUCGCAUUAAUACGCUUCUUCAGCCAGAUAAAAAUAUAUGCAAUACUGAAAAUGGAAUGAAUGUUGGUAUACUAGAUAUAUUUGGAUUCGAGAACUUCGCAAGGAAUUCCUUUGAACAGCUGUGCAUAAAUAUUGCUAAUGAGCAGAUCCAGUUUUAUUUCAAUCAACAUAUUUUUGCACUUGAACAGAUGGAAUAUCAGAAUGAGGGAAUUGAUGCUGCUACAGUGGAGUAUGAAGACAACCGUCCACUUCUAGAUAUGUUCCUCCAGAAACCCAUGGGUCUCCUUUCUCUACUAGAUGAAGAAAGUCGAUUUCCUCAGGCAACAGACCUAACAUUAGUUGAUAAAUUUGAAGAUAACUUACGAUGCAAAUACUUCUGGAGACCAAAAGGAGUAGAAUUGUCAUUUGGUAUUCAGCACUAUGCUGGAAAGGUGAGGUCGUGUGAUUUUUAUUUAGUUAAAAUCAUAGUUUUUGUCCCUGCUGACAUAGUGGUGGUGCUGAGAACCUCAGAGAACAAACUUCUUCAGCAGCUGUUUUCUAGCCCACUAACCAAAACAGGUAACUUGGCACAGGCAAGAGCCAGAGUGACAGCGGCAUCUAGGUCUUUGCCUCCACAGCUUAGUGCUGGGCGUAUCAAGGUUGACACAAUGGAGGUUAUGCGACACCCUGAGGAAACAACUAACAUGAAGCGACAAACUAUGGCUUCCUAUUUUAGGUAUUCCCUCAUGGAUCUUCUAUCCAAAAUGGUUGUUGGACAGCCUCACUUUAUCCGCUGCAUUAAACCUAAUGAUGAUCGAGAAGCACUAACAUUUUCUCAUAAGAGAGUUCUACUGCAGCUACGAUACACUGGAAUUCUGGAAACCAUCAAAAUACGUCAAAAAGGAUAUUCUCAUCGCAUUCUUUUUGAAGAGUUUGUGAAAAGGUAUUACUACCUUGCUUUCAAGGCACAUGAGUCUCCACUUGGCAACAGAGAAAACUGUCUGACCAUUCUGGAGAAAGCUAAACUAGAAAACUGGAUUCUUGGAAAAACCAAGGUUUUUCUAAAGUAUUACCAUAUAGAGCAAUUAAAUUUGUUCCUGCGAGAAGUUAUAGGGAGGGUGGUGGUCAUGCAGGCUUAUAUCAAGGGAUGGCUUGGAGCAAGGAGGUAUAAGAAAGUCAAAGAAAAAAGAGAAAAUAGUGCUGUUACCAUACAGUCAGCUUGGAGAGGAUAUGAAGCUCGCAGGAAGUACAAGGAAAUAAGGAACAGAAGAAAUAAUGCUGCUAUACAUAUUCAAUGUUAUCUUACUGUAGGUUCAGAAAACUGUCUUGAACAGAAGCUGAGAACACCUCGUCGACGAUGUCAGCAGCCCAAAAUGCUGAAUAGCCCUGAGGACAACAUGUACUAUAACCAGUUAAAUGGAACUCUAGAAUAUCAAGGGAGCAAGAGGAACAACUGUAAACAGAAGAAGUCCUUUGUGAUAUUACAGAAUAUGCAAAACUUUCUAGAGAGGCUUCUAAAAAUAAACAAUUAA
This 4083-nucleotide long non-coding RNA is filed under the name Chrysolophus pictus (golden pheasant). RNAcentral describes it as "lncRNA (ENSCPIG00010009378.1)". The record is from RNAcentral. Lineage: Eukaryota; Metazoa; Chordata; Aves; Galliformes; Phasianidae.